Molecule: long non-coding RNA, 2260 nt
Organism: Taeniopygia guttata (zebra finch)
Lineage: Eukaryota; Metazoa; Chordata; Aves; Passeriformes; Estrildidae
Source: RefSeq, a predicted model, not a curated record
GCUCCCAGGGACACCACGCGCCGCCAUUUUGCUGAGGGGGAAGGAGGAGGAGGAGGCGACGGGAGCGAAGGGGGGGACAGGGCGCUCGGGCGCCGCUCGGCAGUUUCCGACCAGGCAGGAGGACGCGAAGGUGGCCGAGUCCCUCCUCCUCCCUUUUCCCUCUCGCCCCGCCUUCCCACCGCGGUUCCGAGCGGCGGGAUGGCGAGCGGGGAGGAGGAGGCAAGGGGGCGGGAGCGUAAAAUGGCGGCGGUGGCGGUUGGGCGCGCGCCCGGGGAAGGGCGGGAAGCGCCUCUCCCUGCCCUGUCCCUGCCUUCUCCCUGCCUCCCGCGGCCGGGAAUCACCGCUAGGAACGCGCGCACGCCGCCGCUCUGACAGCGGCGGGGGAGCGGUUUCUCCUGCCCGCCCCUUCCCUCGGUGCCUGGAGCCGCGCUCGCCGGGCUGCCUCGGGGACCUCCCGCCUGAAGAGAGCGCUUAGCACACUAAGCCAAGCUCUGUGGCGAGGUAGCUCCCAACUUCCAGGCGCGUUUCCAGGUCUUUUGGGUGGUUUCUUGGCGUUUUCCGCCGUCGGGGCGCGGGACGGAAGAGCCGCCAUCUCCUUCCCGCCCAGCGCGGCUGAGGAGAGCGGGGGUACCUGUGGGCGCCGCCGACCCGGACCCCGAGAAUGGGCGUUUGGAGGGCUACGGUAGCCUGAGAAUUCAUAAUGGAAGAAUAAAAGGAGUCCAGAACAUUGCAAUUAUGUUCUGCUCCUGCUUGAAUUAAUGAACACCUUUCUCUUCUACAGAACCAAUUUCAAAGCUUGAUGUCCAUCUAAAGGCCCUGCAGUAACUUCUACAGCAGACUCAAAGAGAACUGCCAGAACAUUUUCAGAGAUGGUUUUCCUGAGGAACCAGCUGUUUGAUCUGAGUGCAGCCACACGCAAACACCGGAGUCAGCAGAAGGGACCUUCUGGAGCAUGGUGUCACAUGCCAAGCUCAAGGAGUACAGCAGAAGAACACGGGUGACCUUGAAUCACUCUUGCUUUUGAGCAGAACGAAAUAUUGAAAGUCUGAUUCCUUUUACUGCACACUUUUUUUUUUUUUUUUUUUUUAACUAGAGACUAAAUUGAAUUAUUUUAAAUUAAAUUAAAUGUUAGCUUCCAAGCUGAAGACAAGACCUGUCAGUGGCCUGUUUACAGAGAUCAUCAGCCUCCUGCUCUUGCAUGCUUUGUUCUUCCCCUUGACCUUGAUUCUCUCUGUGUGCCAUCCCAGCCAAGGUUGUUUUAUCCCCAGGAGGCCUCUUCCCCUCCCCUGGCUGCAUUGCUCCUCAUCUGGGAAUAUUUGCUCUGGUAAAGUGCCAGCACAGUUCUGCUAGAGAACAACUUCUUCGUAUUUAGAUAAAUGCAAGACUUAGGCAAAAACUAAAAUUUUUUAUCCAAGUUGGGACUGGAUUAAGAGCAAGAUCAUGAAUUUUCAAAAUUCACGUUCCAACGUUGAGCUAGCAGCUUAACUGGAGUCCAAUUAAAUCUCUCUCCAGUUAAACCUCAUUUCUGGAAUGCUGCUGGAAGCCACGAGCAACAGAGUCAGUUUUAAGUUUACCCACAUUUAAGUUUCAGCAUUUGACUUUUAUUGCUCUUUUAGCAUUCUAAACUUUUUAAUAGGGUCCAUAUGUCUAACUAGGCUUUGGUGUCACGGCACCCCAAGAAGACAAAUCCAAACUGAUUUACCCCAAAGAAUACAGAAUAAUCAAAAUUUGGCCACAAAUAUCAUAUAAUACAGACAAGGCAUUUCUGAGCAUGAGAGACUGCCACCAGAAACUGAACCACUACCAAAGUGGUGCAGGCAGCUUCUCUUGUACAUUUGGACCUCUUUCAGACUUUUAGUGGUGAAACACACAUUUGCAGUGUUGCUUUGGAGAACUUUGCCUGUCUGGUUAGCAAUGUCCCUGUUACAAUAACCAGCAGUGGUGUACAAAAUGGGCUGGAGCCUGCUCUCCAACACAGGAGGGGAAAUUUUAACUCCCCUCCCCACUCCAGUUGUUAAAUUGGCCCAUUCUUUUGAUAAUCUUUGCUGAAAUCACAAGAUCCACAAAAGAUUGCAGACUCCAAGGCUCAGGAAAAGCUGAGAAUAUUGAAAAGGAUUUAAGAUUUGAAAGGUGCUCACAACCAAAAAAACAGCCCCCCCCAAAAAUACUCAUUUGAGACUGGGAAUCGAUUACCCAAGAAAACACCUAGGAAGAAGUGCUGGAUGACUCUUAUUUACAAGUAAAUAAAAAAUGAAAAUCC